GAUCCUGGCUCAGGACGAACGCUGGCGGCGUGCCUAACACAUGCAAGUCGAGCGAGAAGCUUAAGAUUGAGACUUCGGUUGAUUGAUUAAGUGGAAAGCGGCGGACGGGUGAGUAACGCGUGAGUAACCUGCCUUAUGGAGGGGGGACAACAGUUAGAAAUGACUGCUAAUACCGCAUAACAUAUUUUUAUCGCAUGGUAGAAAUAUCAAAGAUUUAUCGCCAUAAGAUGGACUCGCGUCUGAUUAGAUAGUUGGUGAGGUAACGGCUCACCAAGUCGACGAUCAGUAGCCGAACUGAGAGGUUGAUCGGCCACAUUGGGACUGAGACACGGCCCAGACUCCUACGGGAGGCAGCAGUGGGGGAUAUUGCACAAUGGGGGAAACCCUGAUGCAGCAACGCCGCGUGAAGGAAGAAGGUCUUCGGAUUGUAAACUUUUGUCUUAUGGGAAGAAGAAAGUGACGGUAGCCAAGGAGGAAGCCACGGCUAACUACGUG
RNAcentral lists this ribosomal RNA (495 nucleotides) under uncultured bacterium. Its description in RNAcentral is "bacterial SSU rRNA". It matches the Rfam family "Bacterial small subunit ribosomal RNA", at positions 15 to 507 of the family's 1533-position model. The record is from RNAcentral.